Molecule: non-coding RNA, 92 nt
Organism: Gorilla gorilla gorilla (western lowland gorilla)
Lineage: Eukaryota; Metazoa; Chordata; Mammalia; Primates; Hominidae
Source: Rfam
GUGCUUGCUUUGGCAGCACAUAAACUAAAAUUGGAACAAUACAGAGAAGAUUAGCAUGGCUGCUUAAAAAAUAUAUUACAAAAUAAUUUUUU